This is a long non-coding RNA of Vigna radiata var. radiata (mung bean), 1046 nucleotides long. RefSeq lists it as uncharacterized. The transcript is spliced from 4 exons. The record is from RefSeq and is a predicted model, not a curated record. NCBI's taxonomy places the organism in Eukaryota, Viridiplantae, Streptophyta, Magnoliopsida, Fabales, Fabaceae.
UUAUUGAGCUUGGGCAGAAAUUUCAGAAAAUAAAUCCUCAGAAAAGGAACACCGAACUCGUACCAGAGAAGUUGGCUGUAAGAGGAUCUGUGAUUUCUCUGAAGUGAUUCAAUGGUUACCAGCAGCAGUAGCCAGUUCCACUUGUGCUUUCAAUGGGAUUUCUAUGAAGUGAUUCAUUCAAUGGUUCCUGUGGGAAAUGAAAUCCGACAUUUUGGAUUCAAAUUUGGGUUCGGGUGAUAAAUUGGGGUUGUGCGUUCAAAAGUGUAGCUAUUGGUGUGGCUGUGAUUGGAAUGAGAAGGCUGCUUUGCAUGCCCCAUUUAUUCUUGUGGUGCUUCGAAGCGGGAUUUCAUUACGGAGAAAAUGUUACAGAAUGCGUGUUGUUGAUGAAAUCAAAUUUAUCCCAAAAUGCUUGAUAUUCGUUUCACAGCGGACACUUCCACGACUGGGAUGGAUGAUUGAACUUUGAAGAUAUUGGAAUCUCCUAUUUGAACCCAGAAGUCAAGAUAUCACGCCUUAGGAAAACAACAACUAAUAGCAUGCUUGAAGGAGUGAUGAGCGUUGAAACACUGAAAUCGGGAUGUCACAAGUGAAAAAGAAUCCUGCUCGGUUAUGUGAAGUUAAAAUCUAGUUUGAGUAGAAGUGGAAAAAAAAUGCAGCUUUUGGGAUCAGCCAAACACAUUGAUUUGUCUCUCAAGUGCAUAACUCAAGGUUGAAGUAUAUUGCGGUCUUAGCCAACUAAGGGUGGCACUUUCACUUGGACUCUUUAAAGAAUAGCUCAAUUGCGAGGGACCUCAUUCGAAUUAGUUGAAGAAUCUUUAUCGGGUGAAUUUGGCUAUUUCUUGAAGAGCAUAAUAGUUUAGAAAUAGAAGCUUUACAAGAGCACAUACAUAUAUGUUUUUCCUUAAAAUUGACUUUCAAUUUAAAAAGGUAAAACACUGAAGUCCUAAGCUGUUGAAUGUGAUCGCUUGGAUAAAAACUACUCGUGAACUUAUGCUUAGAAAAAGUCCAUUUAUUUAUUAGGGAUGGAAAAAAAAUUUGUAACAUGU